UGUAAUUUAGUGUAAUUAUGCACUUUAAUUUUUGAAAUUAAAAGUUGAAUUUGAAUUUCAAUAUUACAA
RNAcentral lists this transfer RNA (69 nucleotides) under Mileewa amplimacula. RNAcentral's name for it is "tRNA-Gln". Lineage: Eukaryota; Metazoa; Arthropoda; Insecta; Hemiptera; Cicadellidae. The record is from RNAcentral.